GACGAACGCUGGCGGCGUGCUUAACACAUGCAGGUCGAACGGAAAGGCCUCUUUCGGGGGGUACUCGAGUGGCGAACGGGUGAGUAACACGUGAGUAACCUGCCCUUGACUUUGGGAUAACUUCAGGAAACUGGGGCUAAUACCGGAUAGGAGCUCCUGCUGCAUGGUGGGGGUUGGAAAGUUUCGGCGGUUGGGGAUGGACUCGCGGCUUAUCAGCUUGUUGGUGGGGUAGUGGCUUACCAAGGCUUUGACGGGUAGCCGGCCUGAGAGGGUGACCGGCCACAUUGGGACUGAGAUACGGCCCAGACUCCUACGGGAGGCAGCAGUGGGGAAUAUUGCACAAUGGGUGGAAGCCUGAUGCAGCAACGCCGUGUGCGGGAUGACGGCCUUCGGGUUGUAAACCGCUUUCGCUCAUGACGAAGCUUUGUGUGACGGUAGUGGGUAAAGAAGCACCGGCUAACUACGUG
This 467-nucleotide ribosomal RNA is filed under the name uncultured bacterium. Its description in RNAcentral is "partial 16S ribosomal RNA". It matches the Rfam family "Bacterial small subunit ribosomal RNA", at positions 28 to 507 of the family's 1533-position model. The record is from RNAcentral.